AUGACCUUCAAAAAAAAACUCGCAAGCAUCACUAGUCCAAAAUCUUGUUGCGUGUAUAUGACUAGUCCAAAUGUCAUCACGCGUGUUAAAAAUGCCACAUUGGCCACUGACUUGGCAUGGUGGAGGGUUUCACUGGGAUUUCAUGUGCGUGAUAUGCACGUGAGUAAGGUGGAAGAGCAACUGAGGGGCAAAAUCAUUUUCAUAGCCCCCAGCCUUUCUCGUUUUCCAAUACGCAACCCAUUUCUCCCGACUACAAGGUUGUCCAACGGAAGGAGGGCGGUGAAUAGGUAUCGACUCGGAGUUAACCAGCGUGACGAGUGA
RNAcentral lists this ribosomal RNA (321 nucleotides) under Triticum aestivum (bread wheat). RNAcentral's name for it is "partial small subunit ribosomal RNA". The record is from RNAcentral. Lineage: Eukaryota; Viridiplantae; Streptophyta; Magnoliopsida; Poales; Poaceae.